GUGAGGAAUAUUGCGCAAUGGAGGCAACUCUGACGCAGCCAUGCCGCGUGCAGGAAGAAGGCGCUACGCGUUGUAAACUGCUUUUAACCGGGAAGAAACCCCAGGACGUGUCCUGGGUUGACGGUACCGGAGGAAUAAGCACCGGCUAACUUCGUGCCAGCAGCCGCGGUAAUACGAAGGGUGCAAGCGUUAUCCGGAUUCAUUGGGUUUAAAGGGUGCGUAGGCGGAGCGUUAAGUCAGUGGUGAAAUCCUGCAGCUUAACUGUAGAGUUGCCAGUGAUACUGGCGCUCUUGAGUGCGCUUGAAGUGGGCGGAAUGUGCCGUGUAGCGGUGAAAUGCUUAGAUAUGGCACAGAACACCAAUUGCGAAGGCAGCUCACUAAGGCGAUACUGACGCUGAGGCACGAAAGCGUGGGGAUCGAACAGGAUUAGAAACCCUAGUAGUCC
This 445-nucleotide ribosomal RNA is filed under the name uncultured bacterium. RNAcentral describes it as "partial 16S ribosomal RNA". It matches the Rfam family "Bacterial small subunit ribosomal RNA", at positions 354 to 796 of the family's 1533-position model. The record is from RNAcentral.